GAUGAACGCUGGCGGCGUGCCUAAUACAUGCAAGUCGAACGCACAGCGAAAGGUGCUUGCACCUUUCACGUGAGUGGCGAACGGGUGAGUAACACGUGGACAACCUGCCUCAAGGCUGGGGAUAACAUUUGGAAACAGAUGCUAAUACCGAAUAAAACUUAGUGUCGCAUGACACAAAGUUAAAAGGCGCUUCGGCGUCACCUAGAGAUGGAUCCGCGGUGCAUUAGUUAGUUGGUGGGGUAAAGGCCUACCAAGACAAUGAUGCAUAGCCGAGUUGAGAGACUGAUCGGCCACAUUGGGACUGAGACACGGCCCAAACUCCUACGGGAGGCCGCAGUAGGGAAUCUUCCACAAUGGGCGAAAGCCUGAUGGAGCAACGCCGCGUGUGUGAUGAAGGCUUUCGGGUCGUAAAGCACUGUUGUAUGGGAAGAACAGCUAGAAUAGGAAAUGAUUUUAGUUUGACGGUACCAUACCAGAAAGGGACGGCUAAAUACGUG
RNAcentral lists this ribosomal RNA (497 nucleotides) under uncultured bacterium. RNAcentral describes it as "partial 16S ribosomal RNA". It matches the Rfam family "Bacterial small subunit ribosomal RNA", at positions 28 to 507 of the family's 1533-position model. The record is from RNAcentral.